This is a long non-coding RNA of Bubalus bubalis (water buffalo), 1119 nucleotides long. RefSeq lists it as uncharacterized. NCBI's taxonomy places the organism in Eukaryota, Metazoa, Chordata, Mammalia, Artiodactyla, Bovidae. The transcript is spliced from 3 exons. The record is from RefSeq and is a predicted model, not a curated record.
GAUCUUCUGACACUGAAUUCCCUCAGUUUUGAUUGGUCUAAGAAAGUCUUCAUUUUUCUGUUUUGAGGAAUACAUUUUCCUGGCUAUAAAAUUCAAGAUUGAUGAUCUUCCUUUCAACACUCUAAAAUAUUCCACCCACUUCUUCCUUUCAUGGUUUCUGGUCAGGAUGGGAAGAUGUGCCUGGGCUUCCACAGUGCCUCUGUGAAAGAAAAACUGAGACAAAAAAGAAAAACUGAGACGUUUCCUCCAAGACAUUCCUGCUCUCAGAAGGGGAAGGAGAGGAUGAUAACUCCCAUCUCCAGGUCCAUUUAUGAGACCAUUCUGAGAUUUGCAGUUUGUGAAGCAUAUGGAAGGACUUUGCAAACUGCAGACAGCGGACAUGGGAACUCUUCAUCUUCCAGGCUGGACCUGUGGUCCUUUAGAAGGAAGGUCAAGAGGAUGGCAAACCACGGAUACGAAGACCCUCAUUCUCUCAAAUAUUGACAUGGGCUCAAUUUACAAGCAGAUUAAAAUGUUAAGAGACAAUAAAGAGGAAUAUAAUUAUUAACUGUGUGCCAAAGCCUUUUCCAUAGCCUUUUCCUAUCAUCCUCAUUUUAUAGAUGAUGAAAGUAGAGCUACAAAAGGUUAACCUAUCAGCUUGAGACCACAAAACUAGCAAGACAAGAAGGUUUUACAUUUAGGUCAUUAUAACUCCUAAGUUCCACCCCACCCCAUUCCAUAAUAUUAGAAGGAGCUGACACUCUUGACUGGUUCCUACCUGCUAAGCACCCUGUUAGGCACUCUGCAAGCCUCGCCUCCCUUAAUCUUCAUGCCACUCCUGCAGAAACCACUCGCAUCUUCAUGCAAGGCGAGAGUACUGACAGAGCUACGCAGUCCACAGGGAGCAGCCUUUGCUCAUGGCUGGCCCGCCCUUUAGCACUGAUUCCCCUAAAGAAGGGAUGGCUGUGCUUCUGAGGAAAGGCUGCUGAGGGCGUGGGUGCCUUUGCUGAGGUCUCUAAGCUUUACCUGCUACUUCUCCCCCAGGGGAGGGUUGGCCCCGAGGUCUGGCGUGGGAACUGGGGCUUCAGUGCUUUCAUUCCUCCCCAUGGGGCUCUUCCCUGUUUCCCUGGCUCUGCUGUC